RNAcentral lists this ribosomal RNA (490 nucleotides) under uncultured bacterium. RNAcentral describes it as "bacterial SSU rRNA". It matches the Rfam family "Bacterial small subunit ribosomal RNA", at positions 28 to 479 of the family's 1533-position model. The record is from RNAcentral.
GACGAACGCUGGCGGCGUGCCUAAUACAUGCAAGUCGAGCGAGCGGAACCAACAGAUUUACUUCGGUAAUGACGUUGGGAAAGCGAGCGGCGGAUGGGUGAGUAACACGUGGGGAACCUGCCCCUAAGUCUGGGAUACCAUUUGGAAACAGGUGCUAAUACCGGAUAAUAAAGCAGAUCGCAUGAUCAGCUUUUGAAAGGCGGCGUAAGCUGUCGCUAAGGGAUGGCCCCGCGGUGCAUUAGCUAGUUGGUAAGGUAACGGCUUACCAAGGCGACGAUGCAUAUCCGACUUGAGAGACUGAUCGGCCACAUUGGGACUGAUACACGGCCCAAACUCCUACGGGAGGCAGCAGUAGGGAAUCUUCCACAAUGGACGCAAGUCUGAUGGAGCAACGCCGCGUGAGUGAAAGAAGGUUUUCGGGAUCGUAAAGCUCUGUUGUUGGUGAAGAAAGGAUAGAGGUAGUACCUGGGCCUUUUAUUUGACCGGUAAU